CCAUUGUUAAGAGCAAUGGGUCGUGAACAGGAAAAGGGAAGGCGGUGAAAAGCCGCUGCUGCCCCGCAACUGUAAUCCCGAUACCGAAUAGUAUUCGGAAUGAGUACCUUGGCUAACGUAGCCACUGUCCUGCCCCUGGGCGCGACGGGAAGGCGGCCAGGGUCGGGAGAGCCAGGAGACCUUGCCUGUUCUUAAACUGUCGA
Molecule: non-coding RNA, 203 nt
Filed under: Desulfobacterales bacterium
Lineage: Bacteria; Pseudomonadati; Thermodesulfobacteriota; Desulfobacteria; Desulfobacterales
Source: RNAcentral